Molecule: ribosomal RNA, 471 nt
Filed under: Felis chaus (jungle cat)
Lineage: Eukaryota; Metazoa; Chordata; Mammalia; Carnivora; Felidae
Description: partial large subunit ribosomal RNA
Rfam family: Bacterial large subunit ribosomal RNA
Source: RNAcentral
UUAAACGGCCGCGGUAUCCUGACCGUGCAAAGGUAGCAUAAUCAUUUGUUCCCUAAAUAGGGACUUGUAUGAACGGCCACACGAGGGCUUUACUGUCUCUUACUUCCAAUCCGUGAAAUUGACCUUCCCGUGAAGAGGCGGGAAUAUAAUAAUAAGACGAGAAGACCCUAUGGAGCUUUAAUUAACCGACCCAAAGAGACCCUAUUAAUUAACCGACAGGAACAACAAAUCUCUAUGUGGGCCGACAAUUUAGGUUGGGGUGACCUCGGAGAACAAAACAACCUCCGAGUGAUUUAAAUCUAGACUAACCAGUCGAAAGUAUUACAUCACUUAUUGAUCCAAAAACCUUGAUCAACGGAACAAGUUACCCUAGGGAUAACAGCGCAAUCCUAUUUAAGAGUCCAUAUCGACAAUAGGGUUUACGACCUCGAUGUUGGAUCAGGACAUCCCGAUGGUGCAGCAGCUAUCAAA